GACAAUGGGCGAAAGCCUGAUCUAGCCAUGCCGCGUGCAGGAUGACGGCCCUAUGGGUUGUAAACUGCUUUUAUACAGGAAGAAAAAACUCUACGUGUAGAGUCUUGACGGUACUGUAAGAAUAAGGAUCGGCUAACUCCGUGCCAGCAGCCGCGGUAAUACGGAGGAUCCAAGCGUUAUCCGGAAUUAUUGGGUUUAAAGGGUCCGUAGGUGGACAAUUAAGUCAGAGGUGAAAUCCUGCAGCUCAACUGUAGAAUUGCCUUUGAAACUGGUUGUCUUGAGUCAUUAUGAAGUGGUUAGAAUGUGUAGUGUAGCGGUGAAAUGCAUAGAUAUUACACAGAAUACCAAUUGCGAAGGCAGAUCACUAAUAAUGUACUGACACUGAUGGACGAAAGCGUGGGUAGCGAACAGGAUUAGAUACCCUGGUAGUCCACGCCGUAAACGAUGGUUACUAGCUGUUCGGACUUCGGUCUGAGUGGCUAAGCGAAAGUGAUAAGUAACCCACCUGGGGAGUACGUUCGCAAGAAUGAAACUCAAAGGAAUUGACGGGGGCCCGCACAAGCGGUGGAGCAUGUGGUUUAAUUCGAUGAUACGCGAGGAACCUUACC
RNAcentral lists this ribosomal RNA (608 nucleotides) under uncultured Bacteroidota bacterium. RNAcentral describes it as "bacterial SSU rRNA". It matches the Rfam family "Bacterial small subunit ribosomal RNA", at positions 367 to 975 of the family's 1533-position model. The record is from RNAcentral. Lineage: Bacteria; Pseudomonadati; Bacteroidota.